CCUACGGGAGACAGCAGUGGGGAAUAUUGCACAAUGGGGGAAACCCUGAUGCAGCGACGCCGCGUGAGUGAGGAAGGAUUUCGGGAUGUAAAGCUCUAUCAGCAGGGAAGAAAAUGACGGUACCUGACUAAGAAGCCCCGGCUAACUCCGUGCCAGCAGCCGCGGUAAUACGUAGGGGGCAAGCGUUAUCCGGAUUUACUGGGUUUAAAGGGAGCGUAGACGGUUAAUCAAGGCAGAAGUGAAAACCCCGGGCUCACCCUUGGGACUGAUUUUGAAACUGCGUAGCUAGAGUGCAGGAGAGGUAAGCGGAAUUCCUCGUGUAGCGGUGAACUGCGUAGAUCUUACGCGGAACCCCAGUGGCGAAGGCGGCUUACUGGACUGUACCUGACGUUGCUGCUC
This 399-nucleotide ribosomal RNA is filed under the name uncultured bacterium. Its description in RNAcentral is "partial 16S ribosomal RNA". It matches the Rfam family "Bacterial small subunit ribosomal RNA", at positions 338 to 754 of the family's 1533-position model. The record is from RNAcentral.